This is a long non-coding RNA of Olea europaea var. sylvestris, 698 nucleotides long. RefSeq lists it as uncharacterized. The transcript has 2 exons. NCBI's taxonomy places the organism in Eukaryota, Viridiplantae, Streptophyta, Magnoliopsida, Lamiales, Oleaceae. The record is from RefSeq and is a predicted model, not a curated record.
UGAAUAUCGUAGAGAAAAUCCCGCUUUGUUUGUAACCACAACCCUCGCCAGGCUCCCUCGCCAGGCUCACACCCGUUCCACUCACCACGACUCCGACAUAGGAGUCUUCAUCACCCGCCGCCUCCGUAUGCCCACUAGACGAGUCGUGACCGCCACUGCUACACCACCAUCAGUCUCUGUUCCACCGCGACAUUGCCUUCGUUCUGUCUCCCGUCAAGUCAUUUGCGUUACUCUUCACCACCAACCAUCUACUGGUGCUUAUGUCCGCCAUAUUCGGGAUCAUAUUGGCCCAUCCGCAUUUCAGCCCAUGUAUCUCCAUGGGGGGACUAUCACCACUUUCUGCGCCUGCGAAAACUGAUUGCAAUACUUGCCUGCUCUCUCAGUUGAGACUUUGAGGAACAGACAGGCAUCUACAGUUGGGAUGCUAGGUUUUUUUGGUGUUAUGGUUGAUUUCCCAAGUUUGAUCGACUUAAAAAGCAACUUUUAAGCACAACUAUAUGUUUGGCAUCUUUACAAUUGUAGAGCUGAUAAUUGCAAAUGCUAGCAUGGCUAUUGUAAUUAGAGGCACCCUGUAAUCAAUAGUGGAACAGAAAUGUUGGCGAGGGGGUGAAUUUCUUACUUUUCAAUUUCUCUUCUUUUCCUUUUCAACUCAAAGCUUGUUUGACAACCAUUAUUGUUUAAAAAAUGAGUUUUUAUUA